This 213-nucleotide non-coding RNA is filed under the name Pseudomonas alkylphenolica. Lineage: Bacteria; Pseudomonadati; Pseudomonadota; Gammaproteobacteria; Pseudomonadales; Pseudomonadaceae. The record is from RNAcentral.
GUAGCCUUGCGCUUUCGAGGUUCUUCGGCGCGUGCCGAAGCUAAGAAGGGAACGCGGUUCAAGCCGCGGCUGCCCCCGCAACUGUGAACGGUGAUGUUUACUGCCACGCCACUGUCAGCGCUGUCGAAGGCGCUAGCGGGAAGGCGCAGCGAAUGCCAGGCCUAAGGCCUGAACACCGUCAGCCAGGAGACCUGCCUCGAACAGUUUCCGACA